UUGGUCUUUACUUUAUCCUCCACACAAAUCCAGCAUAGCCGAAAAAUACUCUUCAAGUCUAGCCAUGGCCGUAUGUAGCUGUUUCCUCCAAGCUCCACCGUUUUCUCGCUUCUUAUCACCGGUUUUCUCCCGCCGCGCUCCGAAUCUCUUCCCCGGCUAUGGUCAGCUCAAAUCCACCGUCAUGUUCUCCUCCUCCUCCUCCGCCGCGAACCGAACCGGACCGUUGACAUCUCCGGUCAGAGCUGAAGUAAAGCGCGUCUCGCGCAAGGAAUCUGAAAUAGCUUCCGCAUCCGAUCUUCAAUUCGAGACGCCGUUGAAGAUUGUUGAGUAUCCGGAUCCUAUCUUACGCGCUAAGAGCAAGAGGAUUGGUGUUUUUGACGAGAAUUUGAAGAACUUGGCCGAUGCUAUGUUCGAUGUUAUGUACAAAACGGAUGGCAUCGGGCUCUCAGCACCACAAGUGGGGCUCAAUGUUCAACUCAUGGUGUUUAAUCCAGCUGGGGAGUCUGGUGAAGGAGAAGAGAUUGUUCUUGUUAAUCCGAAAAUCAAUAAGUAUUCUGAUAAAUUAGUACCAUUCAACGAAGGAUGCUUAUCCUUCCCUGGGAUCUAUGCUGAUGUAGUUCGACCACAAUCUGUCAAGAUUGACGCAAGAGACAUUACUGGCGCUAGAUUUUCGAUCAGUCUAUCACGUUUACCUGCACGAAUCUUUCAGCACGAAUACGACCACUUAGAGGAUCUGUCAAUGACAGGGAGUUCUCUUCUUCGACAGAAUGACGGAUGACGUUCUUGACACCAUUCGUGAAGAGCUAGAGGCCCUGGAAAAGAAGUACGAAGAGAAAACUGGACUGCCAAGCCCUGAAAAAGUACAAGCACGACAAAAAAGGAAAGCAGGAGUUGGUUUUGGCAAACGUCGAUGAGACAUUCUCGCUCAAUUCUCGUUUCAUCUUCGUUUAGGGUAUGGGAAUUAACAAUGGUAUGGGGAGCAGACAAUGACAAGAAACACGUUUGCCUUUCUAAAUCCAGAGGAGGACAUCACAUUGUGUGAUGCAAAUCUCCCAAACAUGAUGUACGGUUGUAACACAUAUCAUUUAUUUCAGAAUCUUUUUUUGCCAGAGUAAUAUAUUAUUCAGAUUGUCUGUUUGCGCUGUUAUAUAAUGUUGGCCUUUUACAUGUCAUGGUGUAACUUUGUUACAAACUAAAAUGCAUCACUUUUUACUUG
Molecule: RNA transcript, 1216 nt
Organism: Brassica rapa (field mustard)
Lineage: Eukaryota; Viridiplantae; Streptophyta; Magnoliopsida; Brassicales; Brassicaceae
Gene name: peptide deformylase 1B, chloroplastic/mitochondrial
Source: RefSeq, a predicted model, not a curated record